AGCAGCCGCGGUAAUUCCAGCUCCAAUAGCGUAUAUUAAAGUUGUUGCAGUUAAAAAGCUCGUAGUUGAAUUUCGAGACCGGUUUAUUGGUCGUGCUUUUGUACGUACUGGUAUUAUUGGUUUCUCCUUUCUGACGAAUCAUAAUGCCAUUAAUUUGGUGUUUUGGGGAAUCAGGACUGUUACUUUGAAAAAAUUAGAGUGUUUAAAGCAGGCUCACGCUUGAAUACAUUAGCAUGGAAUAACGAAAUAGGACGUUUGAUUUUAUUUUGUUGGUUUCUAGGAUCGACGUAAUGAUUAAUAGGGAUAGUUGGGGCAUUAGUAUUCAAUUGUCAGAGGUGAAAUUCUUGGAUUUAUUGAAGACUAACUACUGCGAAAGCAUUUGCCAAGGAUGUUUUCAUUAAUCAAGAACGAAAGUUAGGGGAUCGAAGACGAUCAGAUACCGUCGUAGUCUUAACCAUAAACUAUGCCGACUAGGGAU
RNAcentral lists this ribosomal RNA (478 nucleotides) under uncultured Entrophospora. RNAcentral's name for it is "SSU rRNA". It matches the Rfam family "Eukaryotic small subunit ribosomal RNA", at positions 569 to 1053 of the family's 1831-position model. Lineage: Eukaryota; Fungi; Glomeromycota; Glomeromycetes; Entrophosporales; Entrophosporaceae. The record is from RNAcentral.